Molecule: long non-coding RNA, 7256 nt
Filed under: Monomorium pharaonis (pharaoh ant)
Lineage: Eukaryota; Metazoa; Arthropoda; Insecta; Hymenoptera; Formicidae
Description: uncharacterized LOC118645105
Source: RNAcentral
AUGUAUUUUAUUAUACAAUUGCUAUUUUAAGAAAAACACAGUAAACCGUGUAUAUAAAUUGAUUUACAUUUGUCAAGUCUUCUCCAGUAUGCAAUAAUUGCUAUUUUUAGCAUCAAAUAAGGAAGACUUGACACUUAAAAUAAAUUGCUUACAUAACGCUAGUUGCAAGUGAUUUAAAGAAGGAUAUAUUAUGAAAUUAAUUCGAAACCUUCUCAGUGUACGAAAGACAUGUUGCGCAAUGCAGUUCUGCAUUCAAAUAUGAUGAUUUGGAGAAAGAGAAAGAGAGAGGAAGGAGAGCAAGCUCUCUCGCGAAACAGCCGAAACCGCUCUAUCGCGGGAGCUUAACUGACUGGUUUCGGUCAACAGGUUUGACACGGCGAGCCCGCCGUAAGGAUAAAGAUGAUUCCCGCGGACAAAAACGACACACCGGCCGCCUGCCGCUUGCGACGUUGUUGCGGCCGCAACCUUGUUGCAAGCGGCAGGGAAUGCGGCCUUUUUUGCUGCCGGGGUCCCGUGGUCCAGCCAGGCCCGGGCAGUCGUCGAAGACGUUAAUGGACACGUUGGGCCGCGCCGGGCGGACAGCAACAUUUCCGGGCAAUGUUUUAUCACUUAAGGCCCGAUCCGUCCGGGGCUUCACGCUUUAACUGCGCCGAGAUCGAUAACAACGUCGGAUAUCGAUGCGAAACCUUGUUGCAAGCGGGGCCCGAGCUCGAGUUCUUUCUCGUUUUUAUUUUUGUUUUUCCUCUCUGUUUCUUUUUACUUUCUUUUUUUGCUGCGCACCCGCAACCAGAGUGGAUGUUAAUGGACGCGCGCGCGAUAACAAGCGAGCCGCGCGACUUAACGCCGUCGAGUGAGUACGGGUGCAAUUUGUUGCAUCUGCGAUCGGCUUUCGGCCCGACGUCGUCGAAACGUCUUCAUAGGGAAAGAAACGAACGAGUCCCACGACUCGUUUUCCUCUUUAAUGGACCGAUCGAUAUUGCGAAAAAGUUAUGUUCAGCGCAAGCUGUACAUUACGUACAAAUACAUCACGCUCCAACAGAAAUUGCUCUUGACAUACCGCCACUGCCGUGCUAUUACAGCCAAACAAACAACACACGCGAAAGUUUCAUUAUAGAUAAAGCAUUAAGUUCUAAUGACUGAAAAAUAGUUUGCAUUAUUAUCCGCAUUGCGAUAGUUACACGUGACCGACUUUUGCGCUGUAAGGCUAAUGAUUUUAAUUUUUUCGAUUAUUAAAUUAUUAAUGCCAGAUAUAAUUGCUAAUUUGGGAGGCUGAAUUUAUUAUACAUAUUUUCUAUCAUCAAUUAAAGAAUGAAAUAAAGGAGACGUAUGCACUCAAAACUAGAAGGUUAAACACGAAUUGACAGAAUGAAUCCCCAUCGUCUAGUAGAUAGAACUCACAUCGAAAUCGAACCUGAAUGACGUUGCUCUUUACCUCUCAACUCCUCUCUAGUAGUCGCGAGCGACGGGGCCAUCUUGGUCGAAGCCAUUGCUGGUUGCAUCUAGUCUGUCGCUGGCUUUAAUCCCAUCCGUUACACUUUGGAACUCGAGAAGGUCCUUCCCCCCAGUCCUAUCCCCACGGCGCUGCAGAUGGAGGAAGUGGUCCGAGGAGUCGCAUCGUUUCUCAAUCCGUUUACACGAGGGGAUUCUUAUCCCGGAUUAAUCGUCUGUUUGCGACGCAUCCGCGACAGGUACGACAAGCUUAAUGCAUCCAGGAUACACCGCGCGUUGCAACAACGUGUCGUCCAGUUGCAGUUUUGUCCCCUGCCCCGUUGCCCAUCCGCUGAACCGUUACCGAGAGCCGUGAGCGGAGGCGCGAGGAGCCGUGAGGAAAGAUCGCCACGGAAUGAUAAAAACAUUGACCAAAAACUGCGGCUCGUUUCGGUGCGGCGGCCAUUAACAGCCCCGACAACGAUUGGCGGGCCUGCGGAGAUGCAUCGCACGGCUGCACGCCGCCGCCGUCGCGCCGUUAUCCGGCGAGAUUACUCGCGGACGAUAGCGCGAAAAUGCACCGUAUUCCGCGCGCUUGACGGAUCUCAUUAGCGACGGGAUAAUGGGGAACAAUGUAAACAGUCCGAGGAUUGUCCACAGGUAAACUACGGACGACGAGGAUUUAGCGAGUAAACGGAAGUGUCCGACGGCUAUCUGUCUCCCGUCUCUGCGGUCGAGCGGCAGCUGCAUCGAAACGGCUUAUUGGCCCUCUGCGACAUGAUAGUAAUCAGUGAAUCCAACAAGAGCUUCGGCAGUCCAUUUAGUCGGCGAUCCCAUUUUCUCGGCGUGAUGCGACUUUUAAGGCACGAAAGAGACCGAGGGAAUCUCUCGCAUGCACGCGGUGUAUCUAUUCGAAUGGAGGGACGCGGAGGGUGAGGAGGAUGGAAAGGAUGAGAGAGAGAUGAAGGGCGCGAACGACCUUAAAUACGUCGUAUUCAUCGCGCGUUGAUGAACCGUUGCAGCGGGCCGUGCAACCCGCGUGUACGCGUACGUACGUGUGAAUCAUGCGGAAUGAAAAUUUAUCAUACGGUAUUUAUCACCGUAGACGCGAUAGUCGGCUCGAAUUACGUUUGACGAACGCGGCCGGCAAGGCGCACGAUUUUCCGCGCGGCGGCGAUUUAUGCGACCGCCAAAAAGAUCGAAGAGUCGCACCACCGAUGAUCAAAGACGUAUAUUAAGAUCGACAGCUGUGCUCUCGGCGCCGAGACGCCGCCGUCGACAGGGAUGAAGGGUUACUAAUGCCAGCCACGCUCGCCGUUUUUACGUCAAGCAAUUGCGAAACGCGCGUACGAGAUGCGUGCCUACAUUGUUGCGAAUUUUCCUAUACCGCUCCCUUUCGCGUUGUGAUGACAUUAAAAAGUCCGAGCUGCAAAGGGGCUAAUCAGAUUUUUAGAAAACGAGACUCAAAGACCGUAAAUCAAUUAAGUAUGUAACAAGGAUAACGAGAAGAUCAAAGUUGUAUUUUUUGUCAAAAACCAUAUAUAGUGUAAAUUGUAUCUCUUAAAUUUUUAAGAACAACACGGAAAUUUUAUAGUAAAAAUUACUAUGAUAAAUAGUAAGCGCGGGUCAAGGAAAAAAUUACGAAAAUUUUUAUUAUGUUUUUCACCAGAUUAUCAUAUAGUAUUUGCACUACUUAUGAUAUAAUUUUCUGAAAUUUCUUCUUAUGGUCCGUAGCUAUUACAGUACAAAAUAAUGCAUACUAUAAAAUUUUCUUCGUGAAGGAGUAUUAAAAAAAAUCUUUAGGGUGUCUAAAAUAAAUUAGUUUAUUAAAUAUUCUUAAAUUCCCCUUCCCACUUAUACUGAAUUAUUCAAACUUGCAAUUUUUCCUAUAUACAUAUACAUACAUGCAUACAUACAUAUAUAUAUAUAUUGCUAAAGAAGAUAGUGAAAAAAAGGAAGGAUAUCACAAUAAACUACAUCGUGUAUUAAAUAAGAUAAUCAAUAACUCAAUUCUAAUAAUUCAGAUUACUGAUAGAAGAAAUUUGAGUAGAUAAAGACAAUAAUUUUGUCUCCUAUCUUUCGUUUACAAUUCUUUCAGCUCAUAUCGGGAGAAAUUCAAAGGCGGGGCGUUGAAAGUUCGACUUUUCCCUCGAAGCGUUCCUGUCAUUCCUUUUUACGCGAGUAGGACGCUUUCUGAAAUAAAUCUCAUCUUGGAGCGUUGCGUGGGCGACGCGACGCGUCGGCUGCUUCUAUUCCUUCUGACGACGUUAUCGAGAGACUAAAGGUGGGGGCCUGUGUCGUCUGAAGCUAUCGAUCAUCGAUACCGAAUUCAAUUACCUUAUUGUGUCUCUAGAAGUGCACGCGUGUGUGUCUUACUUGCGAGAGGCCGCAAAGGUUUCCUUGCCUAGCGACUAGACCAUCGCGUCGGCCGCUUCCAUUAAAUGAAAGCCCGUUUAUCAUUGGUGAUUCGAACUGUUACAUCGUCGUGAAUUUAAUUCAAUAAUAAUAGCAAUAAAUAAUGGAAAAUGCAUAGUUUAGCUUGAUGCAUUCUAACGUAAUGAACGAUGAUAACGAGAAAAAAAAUAAAGGAGAAAAGAGGAACUGUUUAAAGGCCCAUCGUACACUUGUAUAGGAAGAUUAUUCAUCGUGGCAGGAGAGAAUUACCGCGAGAUCUAAUCGCGUAAUACCACAAGAGCGGGUAUGCGCGUGCAAUGAUCUCAGACUGCGUUGAAUGGACCUCAAACCUUGGUAUGUUCAUCUAGAUAUGCAUGCUCUACGACGGCGAAUUGCUUGUUAAUCGGGCCACGAUUACAGGCGGAAUCAACGUAUAUAAACUCAUUGUCGCUGAAUAAGAAAGUUGGCCUCGAUUAAAACGAAGUAAUAUUAGAAUGGUAUUGGAAUUGAUGCUAAUUCCAAAGAUGUCACUAUGAAUAUGGACAUUAAAUAGAAACCAAGCAGAUUGAACAGAGUAAGGAAAUAUAUUCUAGAUCAAUUUUAUGUGUUUUAUUUAUGGAAAAUCCAAUAAAAGAAAAAAAUGUAUAAUAAAGGAAAAAAGAGAAAUGCAAUGAAUGUUUAUGCCCACCUAUUCAUAAGAUAAAUUAAUUUUGUUACUUUACACAUUCUGUAAAAUUUUAAAUGGGGCAACUUUUUUUUAAAUUUAUAUAAUAUUUAGAUAAUGAAAUUAAUAUUAAAUAAUAAUAUAAUUUGAUCUUGUCUAUGACAUUCAAUCUAAACGUAAUCAUUAGUUGCUUUUGAUAUGUAUCUAAAAUUAUCAUGACAUAAUAUUCUAUUACAUAUACGCGUCAUUUCAAUUACUCUUGCGUCUCACAAUUAUUCUGUCAUUUACUUCGCAAAAUAUCGUGAUAUCAUUGUUAAUAUACUGUCCUAUUGUUAGAAUAGUUAAUUAAUUCAUAAUUAAUAUGGUCCUGAACAUGGUUUCUAAACAUUGAUGUAGGUCAAACAUAUCUACGUGACGUCGAUGCGACCUUUCCCUGAUUGCUUCGUCGUUCUCUCUUGGAUCGCAAGGCGAUGUCCUUUGAAACGACGUAUAACACGAGCGAGGAAAUUGUCGUCGGACACGAUGAACCUUAGACUCCCGGCGAACCGCACUGACCGCGGCUCCUCAUUUUGCGUACGGACCAUAUACCCGGAGACGGCUAGCCGUAGACACUUGAGAUUCUCAGAUCGCUAUCUGCGGAUCGUCAGUGCACAAUCGCACGCGCGCGCACUAGUGCACCGCAUCACCGGAAUUGCAUCGCAGUCGCGUUCCCGACUGCGAAAGCACUAACUGCGACGGGCGAUAAAGCCGCGCGACGAUGUUGCAAGCACGUCGAACAAUCUAACGUUGAUGAAGACGCUGUCGAAUGUUUUUACUACGGUAAUUUUCGAAGGGUACAUCCAAUUCAGAAACGAAAACAAGGAACCUUCGAUGAAUGAGGCUUGAAAAAGAUGCACCGAAAUUAAUUCUGCGAGCAAACAUUUUGUUAAAAUAAUAGAAUUUAGAAUAAUUAAGGUUAACGAGAGGAUGCGAGAUUACGGAACGAAUCAUAAACGAAAAUUCAGCUUAUUUUAAUCGAUGCGUUAGAAGCAUGAUUUCGCGCCGAGGUACUCGAACUCGCCUUCGUGUCGUCGCGAUUAACGCGGAACGAAACGGAGGACUAAAUGUUUAAUUAACUGGCGAUCGACCGGGCUAAUGAAAGACUUGGUAUUUUACCGAGGCUGUCCCAUGGCAAGAACAAACCGCGCGCGGUUGUUGGCGCGAUAAACAAUGACUGCAGCAAACCCUUGUGAAAAUUGCGAGGUGCGACGCGCCGCAAAAAAUCCCAUCAGCCUCGAUGAUCGUGCCGCUUCUAUACGUACAUGUCGAUUUAUCUGUUUCUCUCUCUCUACCUCUCUCUUUCCUUCGCUCUUGCUUUUACUCUUUUACUCUCGUUUUAUCUCUCUCUCGCGAGUGAUAAUCGUGCCGGCGCGAUUCGUGCCGAGUCGCGCAUCGUCAUGCCGGUAACGCCGAUGUACCACUUUGUAACAGAUCGCUGAUUGUAUCCUGACUCAUUGCACUGCAUUGCUAUGGCAUUUGCAUCAUAUAGGGUGUCCAGGAAAAGCUGCAUGGUGAUAAUCUCUAAGGUAAUGUUCGUCGAGGUAUUUAUGUGUAUUCUAAAAUUGAACACAACUAAUUGAUUAAUUCUAAAUUUGUUUAUUACAUGUUCAUUUAACAUAGAAGUAUAAAUUAUUAUUGUUUUUUUUGUAAUAUGUUCCUCAAACAUUGAAUAAAAAGUAAAGUUUAAUCUUUAAAUGUAGAAAGACAGAGACUUUUUUCACAUAAGAGAUUUCUUGCAUAUAUUAUUGAAAAAGUAUAAAAAAUUACCUGGUAUCGGGAAUUAAAUUGCAAUCGAAUUACCAUUUUAUUAAAGUACGCCGAACAGAUCGAAACAUCAGAUGCACCUGACGUUUUACAGAUACCGUAGGUACGCGGGCUAUAUUUAAACGACAAUUUGGCCGGGUCAAUGUUUAAUCGACGCGUAUUUUAAUUCUAUCGGUUUCGAGCAAGCUAAAUCGCCACUUACAUUAGCCGGCAGAAUGGGCGAUUACCUUCAUCACCCGUUCGGCCCUUUAAGCUAGCCUCGCUCGAUUAGCAGCAACUUUCGCUGGAGUUGCGUUCAAUUAAUCCGCUCUAAUUUUCGCGCGAGUCCCGUCGAAAUCUCACCUAGACGAUUCGCCAAUUCGCCGUACGCGCUGAAUUGCAUGAUAAACGAUCGCAUUAAAAGCUAUUUAAUCCACGGGAAGUUAUCGAUAAAGCAAAUGAUUAAAAUAAUAGGCAUGAAAUAUUAUUUAUGCGUGUUGAUUUCUAAAAUAUAAGUAAAAAAUAUAUUGAAAUAUUCUACCUUCUGAAAAGAACAAAGAGAAGCUACUUUCACUACCGGCGUGAUAAUUUCAUCAAGUAGUUUUUUUUUUAAAUUAAAUUUCACCAAAUAUAAAGCAAAAAAAUUUUUUUGCGUUCUUGAAGAAUAUUUUGUAAUAUUUUAGAUUUAACAAUAUAAUGUUUUGCUCUAAUGGCAGACCUAUCCUAGCUUCCUGCGAUCGCAUAAACUAUUUAUUAUCGAUUGCUCAACAGGAGCAUAAUAGUUCUAGCUAAAUCUAGCCGUGAUUUUCCCAGCGUUGCUUAAUUAACUCCAACCAUAGUUUAAUUGGUUCCGUGUUUUCCUCUAGAUAGUAGCAUUGGCUACAACAUGUAUGAAGAAAGAAAAUUAUAUAAGGAGAUAUGUUCUUGCAAGGUUAAAGUUCAUUAACGUUAGUCUGCAUGAAACCGGUCUCUAAACAACAUAUAUUUU